AGAGUUUAGUUCUCUUCAGUGGUUUUGGCUUGCUCUGCAGUCAUGGCUAGAUGUGCUUAAAGAAACAUAUGAUUUUACAUUAUGUCCUUGAAAAACUUAGGAGAUGCCUGACUACUAAUCUCUCAGAGGAGAGGAAAUUUCUGGCAUCUUAUACUUAGUUUCGCAAAGAGAUGAGAUGCAGCUUGAACUCACACAUGUAGGGUCCUCAUCAGGCACUAAGCAGGGUUGUUCUUUGCUUCCUCUCCAUUAUGCUCUGUAAUUGACCCAUGGCUGGCAUGACCUUCACCUUCUAUCCUGGCCCAGCUCCUUCUUAUCAUGCUUCCUGAGCCAGUGCAGUGGUCAAUACGGAAAACCUUCCCUGACCCUCCUAGACUUAUAACCUCUGAUUCUCCACAGCACUCCCCCGCAUGCCUCUGCUACUAGACUUAUUUCACACUGAGUGUUACACAUUUAGGGAGCUGGAUGCUGGCCCUGUGUGUCUUGUGCAUGUGCUAUGUAUGGCCCAUGGCGUCCAAUCCAUUUUUGUUAUUCUGGGAGGUAACCCUUACCUUUGUUGCACUUUGCUCUUGUAAUAGGACUAAACAGGCUACCUUCAUUUCUACUCAAGCAGCAUUUAAUGAGAUUAGUCAACAAUGACAGGCGAUCCUCAUCCCCCACCAGGCCAAUUUUCCCUGGCAGGAUGGUGCUUGCCCACCUUGAUAGGUGGCAGGACAAUUACUGGGCGCCUUCUCGACCUGCUUCAAAGCUUCCUAUAACCUGGCAGUGAAUGAAAUGCACAACCUUCCAACUCAAUGACAUUUAAGGCAACCACUCAUUGGUUCAGGCAGCAAAAUAAAUUGGUACUCAGCUGCUCCCAGUCUAUUUUUCUGGUUGGAGCAAUAAAUAAAAGAAAUGAUUGUGCCACUGCACAUGUGACACAAACCUGCCCCCUCCCCAAGCAAUCACAUUCUCUCACUCUCUCUCUGGCUUUGUUCUGGUCCCCUUUAGGAACAGAGUGUUAAGGAUUGUAUUUGGGUUGCCCAGGGCUGUGUGUCUACAUUUGAGUCCUACACACACAAAUAUAAUAAAUGAAUGUGUGUACAUUUGAAUUGCAUACCCACUCCUACUGAAUUUGUAGUGCAUUCAUAUGGAAAUAUUUUCUACUAAAUAUUAUAACUCCCCCAAUAUUCUUAUUUAGUCCCUUUUAUUCAAGGGACUAAGUUGCAUCACUCAAGGGUGACAUUUAAAUGACAGUUACUACAGUAACACAGAGUAAUGACCUUGUGAAGUGCCAUAUAUUGGUGUGCUUAUCCAGUAAUUUAUAUACCCCAUAAAUACCAGUUGUGAUGUCUGAAGAGAACUUAAAAAAGACAAGAAAUCUCUUUUCCCCACACAAAUGGUUGUGAAAUAUAACAUUUUUAGAAGCACGUUGGGGAUACUUUUUUACCCCAUAAUCUCCCCCGCCCCCCAGAUUCCUUCCCUUCUAAGCAGUGAGUGUUGCAUCCCUCUGCCCCUCAAAUAUUAAAAAUAAAAACCAGAAGAUAGUCUUCUGCUCUCCCUCCCACCCCAAGGUCUUUACAAACACAAAGAGAAAAAAAAAGGAAUCUAUCAAAUCACAAGAUCCUUACCCUCUCUCAAACUAAAUCUGCUUUAAUCAGUAUGCUAGCACAUUCUGUCAAACUCCCCAACUUUUUAAGCAAUACAUUAUUCCUUCAGUUUCUGCCAAAGCUAAACCUUUGCCAGGCCCCACGGCUUUAUGAAGAGGCUGUUGCCAAGUUGACUUCUCUGUCUCAGUCAAGAGGCUGCUCCCCAGCUCUGCUCGAAAUUAAUAAGGCCAAUCAGAUAUGCACAAAGCCUGCGCAGCCAAUCAUUCUUCUCCAAGUAUUUGCCAUCUCCUCUGCGGUCAGAUAAAUCACGUUAAAGCUAUUACACCAAUGACCAUAAAUUAGGGGGCCUGGCGGUCAGUCCCUCCCGAGGACACAGCAGGCUAAGAUUAUUCCAGCGCAAGGGAGGGGAGGUGGGCCCGCGGGGUGGUGAGUUAUCUGUGGUUACAGAAUCCUGGGCCGGCGCGCAGGCUCCCGGAGGACCGUGUCUGGGCUGCGCCCAGCUGUGCACCAGCGCUCGGACGGAGAUGGCCCCAUCCCCUGGUGCGCGGACUCCAUCUGCGCCGCUCUGCCAGACUAUUUACAGCCGAGGUUCGGCCGGUGAUUGCUGGCAUGGAAAACUCAUUUCUCAGCCCGGCUUUUAUUUACACUCUUAUUAAGGAGCCUUCACUCACAUCGGAAUGGCAGCGAGUGGCUGCAGCGAGCCCUUGGCCCCCGGCCAGGCAGCCGAUCUUGGGGCGGGUGAGCCCCCGGGGCCGCCCUCGCCGGCGACCUUCCGCCCAGGGAGCGCAGUGAGCGCUGGCACAAAGGCACCAGAAACCAGGGCGCAGGAACCUGAGCGCAACACCCUGGAAAAAUUCAGUGGCCUGGUGGCUGAUUUCCCCUUGCGGUGUUGGCUGGUUCCCCGCCCCCUUGCCUGGCCAUGCUUCUUGCAAACGUGGACCGUGAGAAAAUGAAGGGUUGACAUGCUUUAACCCGCAUCCAAAAUCUUAGAUCAAGAUUCCACCCUCCCCCAGACCCCUCUCUACCCGCCCAAGCCUCUGCUGCUGGGUUGUAACCCAGCCUUCCAGGAGGGAUAGACUCCCAGUAAUGACUCCCAGGAGGGAAACUUCCUGGCUGUUCUUUCUGUUGGCACCGCAUAAAACCCAAGCAGGCCAGCGCAUGUGCGUGUGAGCCUGCAAGUCCGGAAAACCCGCCAGAAGCCUCUGCACAUCUGGGGCUCCUAACCAUGCAUAUUCAUGACUGAGAGCAGUAAAACCCAGGUCAGCUGCUUGAAGACAAUGAACUGUGUUCUUAAAGGCUAACCAAGCCCGAGAAUUGAAUAAAAAUAACAACCCCCCAGCCUCCUUUCUGAAUCCUGUGCAAAGCGUCUUAACACUUGAGACUAUUUUUUUUCCCCCUAAAAUGGACAAAGGAAACAGGGAGCAGUUUUGCAAGGGGUCAGUUUCUACAGUUUUCCUUAACUAUAGAAAUCUUGAUUCUACCUUUUCCUUAGUGUCCUCAGCCUCUGCAAGAGUAGGUAGUAUCUUCACAUCUUUUCUUCUGCACAUGGUCCCUCUUGGUUUAACUUGUUUCCUUUCUCUUCCUGUUACUCAUCCUGCCAUCUGAUGGCAUCACUCUUAGCCUUUCUUCCCAGAAAGGAUGGAUCUUCUGCCCUCCUGACGCUCAUUUCUAUCACUUCCAUGCUACUCCCACAGACCCCCCCCCAUCCCCCAUUCCGGGUUUGCUGUUAUGGGCUGAAUUGUGUCCCCCAAAACUGAUUUGUUAAGACUUAAUCCUGCACUACUUAAGAAUAUGACUGUAUUUUGGAGAGAGAGCCUUUAAAGAGGUAAUUAAGGUAAAAUGAGGUUCAAUAUGACUGGUGUUCUUUUGAGAGGAAAUUCAGACAAAGAGACACCAAGAAUGCAUGCUCUCAGGCAAAAGACUGUGAAGACAACAAAAAAGGCCAAGCCAAGCCAAGGAGAGGCCAAACCUUUCCCUCAGGAUGGUUUUGGUCUGCACAGCAUUCUUUUUAUUAUGUUUAAGGUGAUCUUGUUUUUUGAUAAGAAACUAUUCACCAGUGAAAUUUCCAUGAGAUUUAUUCAUGCCCCUUCUGUUUUUCAGUUUUGCCCUGUAUACGUUUUUCCAGUUAAAAUACAGGAUACCCAAGUUUGAAUUUCAAAGGAACAGAAAAAUAAUUUUUAAAGUAUGUCCCAAAUAUUGCAUGGGACAUGCUUAUAUUUUUAAAAAAAUUCUUUAUCUGAAAUUCAGAUUUAACUAGAUGUCUUAUAUUUUUUAAUCUGUGAAACUGCCAACAAUAGUUCAGGGUGUGUGUCUUUAAUAUUUUUACACGGUGGUUCUGACAUUAGAAUCAACUGGAGAACAUUUAAAAAAUACUGAUGGCUGGGGUCUCUCCCUAGGGGAACUGGAUGUAAUUGGUUUGGGAUUUUUUUUUUUUUUUAAAGCUCCCAGGUGAUUUUAAUGUGCAGGCAGGGACUAGAAUCCCUGCAGUAAGAGGCAGGUAUUAACUAAUUAAAUGUUCAUGGCUACUGCAUUGUUGGAUUUAGGUUCCCUUAAGCUUAAAUUCUUUGGGUUUUGUUCUGCUAAAAAAUGUCAUCAUAUUAUUCUUAUUGCUGAGCCCAGAGGCAAAGGUCAAGUAGAUCAUGAAAAAUGCCCUGUUAGUAUGUGAAAUGGUUUUAUUAUUUCAGGUCAACUGAGAACAUAAAGAAAGAUGUCAAGAGCUGUGUAAUAUUGAUAACACUGCAGAAAACUACUCUCUAUCCCAGCACUUCAGGUUUUGUAAUAAAUGGUGCAGCUGGACACCAUGGUAAAAGAUUUACCUUUUACCAUUACUUUUAUUACAGGUCACUGCUCAAGAAUGUAGGAUCUGUUUUAAGCACACUUUCUUUCAAGAGGAAUUUCAAUAUAACUGUGUUCAGUUCUUACAGACCUUGGGUAUCUUCUCUUCUUCAGCUAUUAAUUGGCAAGUAUGGAGAGCUAAAGCUUACCUGCAGCUCACUUGUUACUGAAAAAUUGAUGGAAAGUUCAUGUAUCAUGGCUAAUACCCCGAAGGUAGGGCCUUAUAUUUGACUCUGGUACUCAAUUUCAUCCUGAAAAUAAGCCUUGCCAAUAUAAACCUUUGUAAUAAGUGCUAAGGAGAUGCUGGCAUAGAGCUCCAGCUGAAUAAGAGUCAAACUAGAGUGAGAGGAAAAUAAAAUGCCUGUGGCAGAAAUAUAUUUUAUAGAUGUUGUUGGUGGGUCAGAUGAUAUUGCUUGAUUAGUACAAAGUUCAAAGUUCAGGGAUAGAGAUUGAUGUGAAAGGGCUUUGUUAAAUAUGCUAUCUAACAUAGGCUGAAUGGACACAAAAACAAGACCUACAUAUUUGCUGUUUAUAAGAGACCCACUUCAGAUCAAGAGACACAUACAGGAGUUCCCGUCAUGGCGCAGUGGUUAACGAAUCCAACUAGGAACCAUGAGGUUUCGGGUUCGGUCCCUGCCCUCGCUCAGUGGGUUAACGAUCCGGCGUUGCCAUGAGCUGUGGUGUAGGUCGCAGACGCAGCUCGGAUCCCGAGUUGCUGUGGCUCUGGCAUAGGCUGUCAGCAACAGCUCCAAUUCGACCCCUAGCCUGGGAACCUCCAUAUGCCACGAGAGCGGCCCGAGAAAUGGCAAAAAG
Molecule: long non-coding RNA, 5234 nt
Filed under: Sus scrofa (pig)
Lineage: Eukaryota; Metazoa; Chordata; Mammalia; Artiodactyla; Suidae
Description: lncRNA (ENSSSCG00000059714.1)
Source: RNAcentral